RNAcentral lists this long non-coding RNA (3331 nucleotides) under Pan troglodytes (chimpanzee). RNAcentral's name for it is "long non-coding RNA NONPTRT001035". Lineage: Eukaryota; Metazoa; Chordata; Mammalia; Primates; Hominidae. The record is from RNAcentral.
CCGCACCUUGGUUUUUAAAUUUUGUGUUAUUUUUCUUAAAGAUGGGUCCCAAAUUAUACAAGCUUCAGACUCCACAAAGCCUGUGGAAAUGUCCUGCCUGCCAUCCCCGACUCCUCCACUGGGUUUUCUUGUCAAGGAAAAGACCUCACCAACCUCGUUCAUGCAAAAACUCUAGGGGUGACUUUCUACCUCGUCCUCUGCCUUGGCCCCCACCUUUGCAUCCUGUCGGGUCUGCCCCCAAAGUCCCCUCCAAGCCGUGCGUUUCCUUCUACCCCGCGUCACUGCCCGGGUCAAGGCCGUGUGGUCUCUCGCCUGGUUCCUGUGAAAGCUGCCUAGAAAACUUCCACGGCUGUCCCUGCUGGUGUGUCCAGCUCAGGAGGUCACAAGUCUGACCGUGCUCUGCCCAUUGCCCCUGGAAAGGGGCCGAACCCCUAGUGCCAGCUGAAAAGCCCUGUGAGACUGGCCCGUGUGCUCCUCUCCGCACAACCCUCAGCCAGGCUGCUCUUGCCACUCCCCCUCCACGUUUGUCAUCUUCAGGGUGCUCCCCACAAGUGCCAUGCCCUCAGGAGAGUCCUCCCCAGACUAGGCCGAGUGCCCCGGGCUACACUGCCUGGUUACUCUGUGAGCACUAGACUCGAUUGCAAGGAUAUCAUUGCUUGCUGUCUGCACAGCCAUGACCAGCCCCACACAGGCUGACGGGCUUGUCUCCAUCCACCCCAGAGCCCACCGCUGCCGUGGCUACAGCAGGCACUCGGCAGACCUGGUAGGGAGAUGGGUGGACGGCUGGGUGACAAUGGGUAAUGGAGCUCUUCUCAUCUGGGCCAAAACGCCAGGCGUGCAGAGGGGCCGGGGCCUCGGUGACCCAAGUGUGUGAAACGAAAAUGUCUGAAAGUGCCUCUCGGCACAUCUGACAAGCAGUCCCCAAACUCAGCCUUUCUCAGGGCUGGGAACAUAAGAGAAGGGCAUCUACUGGCAGAGCAAAAGAACCGGAGACCCUUGGACUCAACUCGCUGAGUGUUCGCUGUGCAUGUGCAACUGUCCGUGCAUCUGUGAACAUUUGUGUGAGUGUACUGAGGCGGGGCGUAUGAGGGUACCGAGGCAGGGCGUGUGAGUGUACUGAGGUGGGACAUGUGAGUGUACCAAGACAAAGAGCGUGAGUGUACCGAGGCAGGCGUGUGAGUGUACUGAGUGUGCGUGUGAGUGUACCGAGGCGGUGUGUAAGUGUACCAAGGCAGGGUGUGUGAGUGUACCGAGGCAGGGUGUGUGAGUGUACCAAGACGAGGUGUGUGAGUGUACUGAGACGGGGUGUAUGAGUGUACUGACACUGUGUGAGUGUACCAAGCUGGUAUGAGUGUACCGAGACAUGGUUUGUGAGUGUACCAAGAUGAGGAGUGUGAGUGUACCGAGGCAAGGUGUGUGAGUGUACUGAGGUGGGGUGUGUGAGUGUACUGAGGCGGGUUGUGUGAGUGUACCGAGUAGGCAUGAGUGUACCGAGGCAGGGUGAGUGAGUGUGACGAGUCAGGGUGAGUGUACUGAGGCAGUGUGUGUGAGUGUAAUGGGGCAGUGUGUGUGAGUGUACCAAAGCGGGGUGUGUGAGUGUACCGAGGUGGGGUGUGCGAGUGUACUGAGGUGGGGUGUGUGAGUGUACCGAGGUGGGGUGUGUGAGUGUACCGAGGUGGGGUGUGCGAGUUUACCGAGGUGGUGCUUGUGAGUGUACCGAGGCAGUGUGUGUGGGUAUGUGAGUGUACCAAGGCAGUGUGAGAGUACCAAGACGAUUUGUGUGAGUGUUCCGAGGCAGGGUGUGUAAGUGUACCGAGGCGGGGUGUGUGAGUGUACUGCGGCAGUGUGUGUGAGUGUAACGAGGUGGUGUGUGUGAGUGUACCAAGGUGGUGUGUGUGAGUGUACCAAGGCGGGUUUUGUGAAUGUACCAAGGUGGGGCGUGUGAGUGGACAAAGGCAGGGUAUCUGAGUGGACUGAGGUAGUGUGUGUGAGUGGACCAAGGCGCGAUGUGGGAGUGUACCGGUGCAGGGUGUGUGAGUGGACUGAGGUGGGGUGUGUGAAUGUAUCGAGGCAGUCUGAGUGUACCAAGGCAAAGUGUGUGAGUAUACUGAAGUGGGGUAUGGCAGUGUACCGAGGUGAUGUGAGUGUACUGAGGCGGGUGUGUGAGCGUACUGAAGCAAAGUGUGUGAGUAUACCAAGGCAGUGUAUGAGUGUACCAAGGCAAUGUGUGUGAGCGUACCAAGGUGGUAUGUAUGAGUGUACACAGGCAAGGCAUGCGAGUGUACCAAGGCAAGUCGUGUGAGUGUACCGAGGAAAGGUGUGUGAGUGUACCGAGGCGGGUUGUGUGAGUGUACUGAGGUGGUAUGUGUAUGUGUAUUGAGGCGGUGUGUGUGAGUAUACCAAGGUUGGGUGUGCAAGUGUACCGAGGCAGUGCGUGUGAGUGUAGCGAGGCAGGUUGUAUGAGUGUACCAAGGUGGGUUGUGUGAGUAUACCAAGGUGGGGUGUGUGAAUGUACCGAGGUGGUGUGUGUGGGUGUAUGUGGAUGUGUGAGUGUUCUGAGGCGGGGUGUAUGAAUGUGUCGAGGUGGUGUAUGUGAAGGUAUCAAGGUGGGGAUGUGUGAGUGUACAGAGAGGCAAGGUGUGUGUGUACCAAGGUGGUGUGAGUGUACCAAGACAAGGUGUGUGAAUGUACUCAGAUGGAGUGUGUGAGUGUACUGAGAUGGUGUGAGUAUAACGAGGUGGUGUGGUGUGUGAAUGUACAGAGGCAUGUUUUCUGAGUGUACUGAGUUGGGGUGUGUGAAUGUACCAAGGCAAUGCGAGUGUACCAAGGCGGUGUGUGUGAGUGUACUGAGGCAGGGUGUGUGAGUGUACCAAGGUGGGGUGUGUGAGUGUACCAAGGUGGGGUGUGUAAGUGUACCGAGAUGGUGUGUGAGUGUACCAAGGAGGGGUGUGUGAGUGUACCAAGGUGGAGUGAUUAUACUGAGGCAGUGUGAGUGUACCGAGGCGGUGUGUGAGUGUACUGAGGCAGUAUGUAUGAGUGUACCAAGGCAGGUUAUGUGAGUGUACCAUGAUUCUGUGAGUGUACCGAGGCGGCGUGUGUGUGUACCGAGAUGGUAUGUGUGAGCCUACCGAGGCGGUAUGUGUGCAUGUACCGAGGCGGGGUGUGUGAGUGUACAGAGGCGGGUUGUGAGUGUACAGAGGCAGGGUGUGAGUGUUUUGAGGCAGUGUAAGUGUAAUGAGAGGUGGUGUGUGAGUGCGAGGCAGGAUGAGUGUACCGAGGCAGGGUAUGUGAGUGUACCAAGGCAGUGUGAGUGUAAUGAGGUGGAGUGAGU